CCCUACGGGGCGCAGCAGUGGGGAAUAUUGCGCAAUGGGCGAAAGCCUGACGCAGCGACGCCGCGUGAGGGAAGACUGCCCUAUGGGUUGUAAACCUCUUUUGUCAGGGAGCAACGCCGGCUACGUGUAGCCGGACUGAGAGUACCUGAAGAAAAAGCAUCGGCUAACUCCGUGCCAGCAGCCGCGGUAAUACGGAGGAUGCGAGCGUUAUCCGGAUUUAUUGGGUUUAAAGGGUGCGUAGGCGGAAUGCCAAGUCAGCGGUAAAAUCGCGGGGCUCAACCUCGCUCCGCCGUUGAAACUGGCGU
Molecule: ribosomal RNA, 305 nt
Filed under: uncultured bacterium
Lineage: Bacteria
Description: bacterial SSU rRNA
Rfam family: Bacterial small subunit ribosomal RNA
Source: RNAcentral